RNAcentral lists this long non-coding RNA (274 nucleotides) under Malus domestica (apple). RNAcentral's name for it is "long non-coding RNA (MDOM_LNC014656)". The record is from RNAcentral. Lineage: Eukaryota; Viridiplantae; Streptophyta; Magnoliopsida; Rosales; Rosaceae.
AGAGUUGAGUGUUUCAACCGAGAUCCAAAUCCAACUCGAUUAAAAAGGUCCCCAAUGACUAGUAUGUAUUCAUAAAUGUAUGAAGAUUAAAUUUGUUUAAACUAUUUUCAUGGAUGAUAGGUAGAUUAAGUUUUAUUUAUUUUCGUAUAUUCUACCUCCAUCACAAGUUGAAUGUACAUAAUCAACGCAUGACAUGAGAAUCAUAUAUGAUAACAUAUAAAUUUUCUUUUAACUAUUUUUCAGACAAGUGGUUAGAUCUUCAUAUUUAAAUAUU